GAUGAACGCUGGCGGCGUGCCUAAUACAUGCAAGUCGCGCGAACAGAUAAGGAGCUUGCUCCUUUGACGUUAGCGGCGGACGGGUGAGUAACACGUGGGUAACCUACCUAUAAUACUGGGAUAACUUCGGGAAACCGGAGCUAAUACCGGAUAAUAUUUCGAACCGCAUGGUUCGAUAGUGAAAGAUGGUUUUGCUAUCACUUAUCGAUGGACCCGCGCCGUAUUAGCUAGUUGGUAAGGUAACGGCUUACCAAGGCGACGAUACGUAGCCGACCUGAGAGGGUGAUCGGCCACACUGGAACUGAGACACGGUCCAGACUCCUACGGGAGGCAGCAGUAGGGAAUCUUCCGCAAUGGGCGAAAGCCUGACGGAGCAACGCCGCGUGAGUGAUGAAGGUCUUCGGAUCGUAAAACUCUGUUAUUAGGGAAGAACAUACGUGUAAGUAACUGUGCACGUCUUGACGGUACCUAAUCAGAAAGCCACGGCUAACUACGUG
This 497-nucleotide ribosomal RNA is filed under the name uncultured bacterium. Its description in RNAcentral is "partial 16S ribosomal RNA". It matches the Rfam family "Bacterial small subunit ribosomal RNA", at positions 28 to 507 of the family's 1533-position model. The record is from RNAcentral.